AACGCUAGCUACAGGCUUAACACAUGCAAGUCGAGGGGUAGCAGGGUAGCAAUACCGCUGACGACCGGCGCACGGGUGAGUAACACGUAUCCAACCUUCCCAUAACUCGGGGAUAGCCUUUCGAAAGAAAGAUUAAUACCCGAUAGUACUUAAGAAAGGCAUCUUUGAUAAGUUAAAGAUUUAUUGGUUAUGGAUGGGGAUGCGUUCCAUUAGAUAGUUGGUGAGGUAACGGCUCACCAAGUCUUCGAUGGAUAGGGGUUCUGAGAGGAAGGUCCCCCACAUUGGUACUGAGACACGGACCAAACUCCUACGGGAGGCAGCAGUGAGGAAUAUUGGUCAAUGGGCGAGAGCCUGAACCAGCCAAGUAGCGUGAAGGAUGAAGGUCCUAUGGAUUGUAAACUUCUUUUAUAGUAGAAUAAAGUGAACCACGUGUGGUUUUUUGUAUGUAUACUAUGAAUAAGGAUCGGCUAACUCCGUGCCAGCAGCCGCGGUAAUACGGAGGAUCCGAGCGUUAUCCGGAUUUAUUGGGUUUAAAGGGUGCGUAGGCGGAAUAAUAAGUCAGUUGUGAAAGUUUGCGGCUCAACCGUAAAAUUGCAGUUGAUACUGUUAUUCUUGAGUGUACAUAAGGUAGGCGGAAUUCGUGGUGUAGCGGUGAAAUGCUUAGAUAUCACGAAGAACUCCGAUUG
Molecule: ribosomal RNA, 686 nt
Filed under: uncultured bacterium
Lineage: Bacteria
Description: bacterial SSU rRNA
Rfam family: Bacterial small subunit ribosomal RNA
Source: RNAcentral